Non-coding RNA from Paramuricea clavata, 212 nucleotides. The record is from the annotation of a GenBank genome assembly. Lineage: Eukaryota; Metazoa; Cnidaria; Anthozoa; Malacalcyonacea; Plexauridae.
CCUUAUUUCAAUGUUGAAACCUACUGUAAUUAUCGAAAAGGAACAUAAGGUGAUACUAGAACCGCAAGUGUGUCACUGGCAGUUGAAAUUUAACAGAUGAUGUUGGAUUUAAACUAUUUUAUAGUGCCUAACAACAUUGAAAUUGUGGGAGGGGGUUUGUCUCAAAUAUUUUGUGGACGAUUGAGGGCACAGAAUGGGUCAUACAGAAGCCC